ACAAGAAAUACAUAUAAAAUCUCAUUAAUGAUGUGCACGAAUGACUCUACCUUAUCGACCUUGAUCAAAUUUCAAAGGCACUCCUGGAUCCCCUUAAUGCUUAUUCAAACUAUGCAAAAAAUUGACAUAUUAAAGAGAGUAAUAAAGAGGGUGAAAGGACCUCACUACGCGUGAAAAAUCGCGAACCUAUGUGAUACAGUACAAGCGCGGACGUAGUUUCGCUCUGUAAGCGCGCAGGGGAGGGAGCGUUUGAGUGGACCUUGCUACGCGUGGAAAGUAGCUGUAUAGAGCUGGUUAAUCAUAACCAUUCCAUUUUUCUGCCCAGUUAACCAUUUGCUGCCAAAUUACUAACAAUAGGAAAAAAUUUUUCUGCGGAGUAAGGUGGUCAAAUUCAGGAACUACCGUGUCCUCGAGUGCGCUCCAAUUGUAAUCAAAACUUGAUGUUAUAUUCUAACACAAAAUUGAUUGCAAUACUACAAUAGAUUUGCCAUUAACAGUGAGACAUCAGAUUGAAGCAACAAAUUGACAGCAUAUUUAUCAAUUGCAGACCAACAGAUUUGCAUCAAAUAUUCAGCAAAUCUAUGUGCAGAAUUUACAACAAAUGGACGACAAACUCAAAACAGAUUUGUUUGCAGAAAUAAUGGCAAAUUGACAACAAACAUGAGAUUGACAUAUUUUAGUAUUAUAUGUCGAAAUCUUACUUCCUACCGCGCUCUAUUGGCAAGCCUCUUUUAUUCAUAAGAAGGUGCAUUUUAUCUACGAAAAAAUAGCGCCACAUAGCGAUAGGUAGUGAAAAGAUAUUAUCUUAAGAAUUAAUAUACUUAAGAAUUAAUAUACAAUCUAUUUAUUAUUAAUGUAAGUAAACAUUUCUAGUUGAUGACAGCAUAUCAAAGCAUGUAGCUUUCGAGAAUAAAAAUUUACUUGCAGUAA
Molecule: long non-coding RNA, 930 nt
Organism: Monomorium pharaonis (pharaoh ant)
Lineage: Eukaryota; Metazoa; Arthropoda; Insecta; Hymenoptera; Formicidae
Exons: 2
Source: RefSeq, a predicted model, not a curated record